RNAcentral lists this long non-coding RNA (914 nucleotides) under Equus asinus (donkey). Its description in RNAcentral is "lncRNA (ENSEASG00005027942.1)". The record is from RNAcentral. Lineage: Eukaryota; Metazoa; Chordata; Mammalia; Perissodactyla; Equidae.
AGAGUCCAGGAAAAAUGUGGUGCCUUUUAGCUAAAAGAGGCUUCCUCAAGAUUGCUCAGGGUAGCACUUAUUUUACUAGCUUUGUGACCUCAGAAGAGCUUCCUCCAGAAUCUUGCAUAAUUGGGUGUGAAUCUCAGCUCUGCCACUUAUGAGUUAUGUGAUCUGGGAAUCCUCUACAGAUGCAGUGAUGCCCUUCUAGAGAUUGCAUUUAUACUUUUUUCUCCACUGACAGAAGAGCCAGAAAAGUGCUUUGGAACCUGGGAAGGGAACUGCCAAUUCCUCAAGCAUGGGUGUUGGUCUUCCUGGAAUCCAUUACCUGGCUCCCCAAGGAAGGGUGAAAACACUUGGGAUCAUUAAAGAAAUCAAUCUGAGUGAUGUGGACUCUCAGAGACCUGAGCAAGUGCGCCUUGUGGUCCUUGAACCUUAAUGAAGUCAGAAUCCUCAAUUUGCAGGAUCCUUGUUACUAAGAAAAUGGAAACUGGGCCAAAAAUAUAAACGAUGCCCCUUUGCAGAAUCCUAAAGGAAACAGAGAAACUGGCAACAAUGGACAAGCCACUCUCAUGGGCUCCUUUUUCCCAGGUUUUUUUUUCUUUUCUUCUUUUUGAGGAAGAUUAGCCCUGAGCUAACAUCUGCCACCAAUCCUCCUCUUUUUGCUGAGGAAGACUGGCCCUGAGCUAACAUCCAUGCCCGUAUUCCUCUACUUUAUAUGUGGGACUCCUGCCACAGCAUGGUUUGCCAAGCGGUGUGUAGGUCCGCACCUGGGAUCUGAACCGGCGAACCCUGGGCUGCUGAAGCGGAAUGUGCAAACUUAACCACUGUGCCACUGGGCUGGCCCCUGCUUUUUUAAAACUCUAUGAUUAUAUAACUUUGAUAAAAAUCAGGAGAAUAAGGACCUAGAACAGAGUGAGGGGACA